GACGAACGCUGGCGGCGUGCUUAACACAUGCAAGUCGAACGGAAAGGCCCUGCUUGCAGGGUACUCGAGUGGCGAACGGGUGAGUAACACGUGGGUGAUCUGCCCUGCACUUCGGGAUAAGCCUGGGAAACUGGGUCUAAUACCGGAUAGGAGCCAUUUUUUGUGUGAUGGUUGGAAAGUUUUUUCGGUGUAGGAUGAGCUCGCGGCCUAUCAGCUUGUUGGUGGGGUAAUGGCCUACCAAGGCGGCGACGGGUAGCCGGCCUGAGAGGGUGGACGGCCACAUUGGGACUGAGAUACGGCCCAGACUCCUACGGGAGGCAGCAGUGGGGAAUAUUGCACAAUGGGCGCAAGCCUGAUGCAGCGACGCCGCGUGGGGGAUGACGGCCUUCGGGUUGUAAACUCCUUUCGCUAGGGACGAAGCUUUUUGUGACGGUACCUAGAUAAGAAGCACCGGCUAACUACGUG
Molecule: ribosomal RNA, 465 nt
Filed under: uncultured bacterium
Lineage: Bacteria
Description: partial 16S ribosomal RNA
Rfam family: Bacterial small subunit ribosomal RNA
Source: RNAcentral